This 484-nucleotide ribosomal RNA is filed under the name uncultured bacterium. Its description in RNAcentral is "partial 16S ribosomal RNA". It matches the Rfam family "Bacterial small subunit ribosomal RNA", at positions 30 to 507 of the family's 1533-position model. The record is from RNAcentral.
AUUGAACGCUGGCGGCAGGCCUAACACAUGCAAGUCGAGCGGAUGAAGGGAGCUUGCUCCUGGAUUCAGCGGCGGACGGGUGAGUAAUGCCUAGGAAUCUGCCUGGUAGUGGGGGAUAACGUCCGGAAACGGGCGCUAAUACCGCAUACGUCCUGAGGGAGAAAGUGGGGGAUCUUCGGACCUCACGCUAUCAGAUGAGCCUAGGUCGGAUUAGCUAGUUGGUGGGGUAAAGGCCUACCAAGGCGACGAUCCGUAACUGGUCUGAGAGGAUGAUCAGUCACACGGGAACUGAGACACGGUCCAGACUCCUACGGGAGGCAGCAGUGGGGAAUAUUGGACAAUGGGCGAAAGCCUGAUCCAGCCAUGCCGCGGGUGUGAAGAAGGUCUUCGGAUUGUAAAGCACUUUAAGUUGGGAGGAAGGGCAGUAAGUUAAUACCUUGCUGUUUUGACGUUACCAACAGAAUAAGCACCGGCUAACUUCGUG